Leopardus geoffroyi (Geoffroy's cat) is the source of this 619-nucleotide long non-coding RNA. RefSeq lists it as uncharacterized. The record is from RefSeq and is a predicted model, not a curated record. The transcript has 3 exons. Lineage: Eukaryota; Metazoa; Chordata; Mammalia; Carnivora; Felidae.
UUGAAUGUCACUCAUUUGAAUAUGUAGAUUGGAAGCCACUGCAAUCCAAGUGACCUCCUUUUCACCUUCCCCCAAAGUAGACCACAGCUGCUCUGGAACUGAUCUGCAAGACCACACACUGUGCAGUUGCUUUGGCAACCAACACAUAUUCUGUCCCAUUUGAGCGCUAGUUGAAAUGGUUUCUGCAAUGGCAUCGCUACGCAGAGUUGGAACUAAAAUGUCACAGCGUGCUAAAACCCCAGAUGUGGCAGACACUCAAAUCCAGUGAUUACCUGAAGAGCCAGUGUGAGCCUUUGUGCCAUACCCAAACCUCUUCAAGACUAAGCCCUUGAUCUUGAUGUCAGUUUGUAAGACUAACACUUUGAUGGAGGUGAGAGACUCAUGUAUGAAUAGUGAUGGAGGAGCCAUGGAGCUAGAAGUUCUAGAUCCCAUAUAUUGUGGAAUUUUGGUGUAAUAAUUGGAGUUCAGGCUAAGUUUGAAGUCGACACCCCCUGACUAAGCAGAACACUGACAAGAUGUGACAUCUCUGCCAACUUGAGGAUCUACUUUGGCCUGGGAAAAUUGGAAGAGACCUUGUAAUGGAAGCGAGGACACCAAGAAGUAUAACAAAAGAUAUCUG